GACCGGAUAGCCUUGGAAAAUAGAGGAUGUCAACUCUGAUAUAUAUAAAAUUGUUUGUAAACAUCAAUUAUUUAUCCGCAGUUUUUUUUUUUAAAUCAGUCACUCAUCAUGUGGUUUAUUAUUUUCAGUGGAUUGUUUUGUAUACUUGCAAAAAGGACUGAAGGUGUAAUGGUGCAACCUACUGUUACCCAUUAUGAAAGAGGUUCGGUAUCUAAUAUGAACAUGGCAGAAAAUUGACACGAUUAGAACAAACUGUUGCUGAGCUCCAAACGAAAAUGAAUUCCUUAAAUGACUAUGGUAAGUACAGAAAAGGUAAAGAGCAACAGGCAAAAUUAAAUCGAUUAUAAGUAUCGUUAAACUUAUAUUAUAAUGAAAUUUAAUUGUAUUAAAAUGUAUUUUAUUAUCAAACAUUUAAAAGAAAACGUCCCUUUUCUGCGAUUCUUUCUUUAUUAUAUUGUACACGUUGAACCAAAUGUUUAAACUUUGUAAUUUAAAUGUAAAAAGGUAAAAAAAAAAAAAUAGUUAAAUUUUUUUCUUGGUAAGUAAGCUUAAGAAUACUACUUAUUUGAUUACGCCGUUUUAGGAUCUCAUGCAUCUUGGGCAAUCUUUUAAAAAAUGUACAUUAAACAACGUGAUUGGUUAAAAAUGUUAUAAACAAUGGAAAUUCAACCAAUGACGUUAUUUUGAUUUUUUCAGUUUGUUUUACUGUGACAAGAAUCAGCGGAUGGAUACCACCUGGUUCUAUUAUCCCGUUCAGGCACAUCAAAACAAGUUAUGGCGUCACAAAUCGAAUCAAUUUGACGUUUUAAAGCAGAACAACCUGGUCCUUAUGUUUUGGGAGUUACAGUUUUCACACAAGAGGAUGGUUAUUAUCAAAUAUGCAAAAACGACGUAAUGAUAAGCGAGGUGUUCGUAGAGUUUUAUGAAAAAUCUGGAACUAGUUUUAUUGUGAUUGAGCUUGCUGUUGGAAGCAUCAUCAGUGUAAAAACUGCGAGAUUUAAAUUGUUUGUCAGACCAUUUUCUACUUUGACUGUAGCAAAAAUAAAGUAACAAUGUUUACGUUGUUGAUGAUACUACAAUGUCAUUUUUACUUUUCUGCAAAUUAAAGAAUUUUGCAUAGUUCCUGUUGUUUAUUCUUUAGUUUUCUAUGCUGUGUCAUGUUAACUAUUGUGUGUUUGUUUGUCCUUUUCAUUUUUAGCCAUGGCUUUGUCAGUUUAUUUUCGAUUUAUGAGUUUGACUGUCCCUCUGGUAUCUUUUGUCCUUUUUACAAUUGUAAUGUAAUAGAUGUGCCUACUAGUUUAAUUCCCCUUAAUUUGGAC
Molecule: long non-coding RNA, 1319 nt
Filed under: Mytilus galloprovincialis (Mediterranean mussel)
Lineage: Eukaryota; Metazoa; Mollusca; Bivalvia; Mytilida; Mytilidae
Source: RNAcentral